CGUUUGUGGCCUUAUCCCCUCCUCUCUUUAAUACUAUAAACCCACCAUCCCAAAUGAGUGAGUUGAGUCCUUGCAUCCCUUUGCUCCUCACAGUACUGAGAACAUUUCCUAAUCACUUCCCUCAGACCCUUUGGUCUCUCCCACUCUCUGUCUGAAGUUGGAGGAUGGAAGAUGUGGAUUCCCAUCUGUUCCACUGGGUACCAACCUCCGAACCUGAAGCGGUACCGCAGCAGGAAGACAUGGCAAGAAUUUGGAUUAAAGGCCAAGGGAUCCUUGUACUCCAUGGUGAUUCCCCUUGUGAAGUAUCCUCUUCUUCUUAGUUCCCGGAUGGUGCUAUCCUAGCUGAGCUUUUCUCCCCUCUCUUCUUGUCUAUCCUUCUUCACACCAUGGCUUGCAGGUUAAACUGUUCUUGACCUUGUAAGACCUUUUCUUGACCUUGUAAGGCCAAAUUCUCUAUUUAAUCCCCUCGUCUCCAAACUCCACGUGGAGUGAGUCAAUACGAACUAUAUUCCUAUCUUCGUGCCCUCCUCUUCCCCUCUCCUCCCCUCUAUCCCUCCUGAGCUAUUUUGCUUAUAUUUACUCCACCGUAUGGUUGUCAUCUGUAGCAUGUUACUUGUGCAACUGUGUCGACGAUACUGUGUCUUUGUAUUCGGUGGGGUUUCACAUGUGGUUAAGUCAGUGUAUUAUUCUUCUUGUGACCCAUCGAGGAUAUGGAUCCUUACAGUCCUUUGUUUUGUAUGGCAGUCUGCUAUGAUACAUACCCCAUGUCUUUUGGUAAAGCUCUCCUCAUCAUGUUGAAGUUUUGGAUGCCACCAUAGAUGUGUUUGAUAAGGUGAAAGGCACAAGGAUGCUGAUAAGAUAGCAUGGACUUUCUCACCAGCUUGUCUUUAUUCAGUCUAGCAAGUGGAUGUAUACAUAGCAUAUAACUCCAAGCAUAAAAGACUCCAUGAAAGUUCUAAUA
Molecule: long non-coding RNA, 961 nt
Organism: Musa acuminata AAA Group (dessert banana)
Lineage: Eukaryota; Viridiplantae; Streptophyta; Magnoliopsida; Zingiberales; Musaceae
Exons: 3
Source: RefSeq, a predicted model, not a curated record